CCUGCUUGGGCAGGGGAAGGACCGAAAACCAGAGGGGCCGACAGGGCAAAGCACCCCAGCAGACCUUACGGAGGGAACCAGGUCAGUGCCCCCGGGAGCUCAAGUGCGCCCAGACUUAUCUGCAUGGCAUUGGACAGAGUAUCUUAUGAACAAGAGAGGAAAACGCAGACUGGGCAAGGAUUAAGUUAGGUCUCCCUUCCAUGUUUUCCAAGACUGGAAAUGGCCCCCUGAUGUCCAGAAGUAGAAGCGCUUUAUGGAGGUGGAACAGGAGCGGGAGGCAACGGGCUCUUGAGGGAUCAGUCUGGAAUGCCCCUGCUGCUGGCCAGGGGACCGUGAGGCCCCAGCAGUGCCCUUCACUGCGGGCCGCUAGUUCUGCUCUCUAUCUGCUGAGGCAAAGAAUGCUGAUGUGUGAGCAAGGUCCAAAGAGAGCGUUCAACUAAAAUUAAUAAAAGUAAUAAACAGAAGCACUGCUCCAAUGAGGAUGAGCGCUGUGACCUUGCAAUCUGCAAUCAGCUUCACAAACCAGAGAGGAAGGUGAAUCCGACGAGGACCAGGCUGGAGAUGAACACCAAGGAACGUGGAUGCUUCAAGGACGGUGUUGCAGUUUAAUAAUUCAAGGAAGUAUGCUUUAAAAGAAAUGAAAUCUAUUAAAAGUUGUAUUAUCAUUUGACUAAUAAAUGCUAUAUAGGCACAACAAAUAACCAAAUAAUUAAAGCAAAUCCAAUCUCUGAAUGCAAACAUCCUUUCAACAGUCCUUAAUCGCUUUUUUUUUUCUGCUGCUCAGGCUGGAGUACAGGGGCAUGAACUUGGCUCAGUGCAACCUCCUGCCUCCUGAGUUCAAGAGAUUCUCAUGCCUCAGCUUCCCAAGUAGCUGGGAUUACAGGCCCACACCACAACGCCCAGUUAAUUUUUGUAUUUUUAGUAAAGACAGGGUUUCACCAUGUUGGCCAGGCUGGUCUCGCACUCCUGACCUCAGGUGAUUGCCCGCUUCUGCCUCCAAAAGUGCUGGGAUUAUAGGUGUGAGCCACUGUGACUGGCCCUUAAUUUGCUUUUAAAUAUAAAUAUUAAAUAAUAUCUAAGGCUGGGCGCGGUGGCUCACGCCUGUAAUCCCAGCACUUUGGGAGGCUGAGGCAGGUGGAUCACGACCAUCCUGGCUAACACGGUGAAACCCCGUCUCUACUAAAAAUACAAAAAAAUUAGCCAGGCGUGGUGGCAAGCACCUGUAGUCCCAACUACUCGGGAGGCUGAGGCAGGAGAUUGGCGUAAACCCAGGAGGUGGAGCUUGCAGUGAGCCGAGAUCGC
Molecule: long non-coding RNA, 1302 nt
Filed under: Homo sapiens (human)
Lineage: Eukaryota; Metazoa; Chordata; Mammalia; Primates; Hominidae
Description: HSALNT0083474
Source: RNAcentral